UGCCAGCCGCCGCGGUAACACGGGGGGCGCAAGCGUUAUUCGGAAUUAUUGGGCGUAAAGGGCGCGCAGGCGGCUUGAUAAGUCGGGUGUGAAAUCCCGGGGCUCAACCCCGGAACUGCAUUCGAAACUGUCUCGCUUGAAUACGGGAGAGGGAAGCGGAAUUCCUGGUGUAGAGGUGAAAUUCGUAGAUAUCAGGAGGAACACCAGUGGCGAAAGCGGCUUCCUGGCCCGAUAUUGACGCUCAUGUACGAAAGCGUGGGGAGCGAACAGGAUUAGAUA
Molecule: ribosomal RNA, 279 nt
Filed under: uncultured bacterium
Lineage: Bacteria
Description: partial 16S ribosomal RNA
Rfam family: Bacterial small subunit ribosomal RNA
Source: RNAcentral